Molecule: transfer RNA, 67 nt
Filed under: Eurycea quadridigitata
Lineage: Eukaryota; Metazoa; Chordata; Amphibia; Caudata; Plethodontidae
Description: tRNA-Tyr
Source: RNAcentral
GGUAAGGUGGCCGAAGCAGGUGCCGAGUUGUAGCCUCGGUUAUAAAGGUCAAUCCCUUUUCUUAUCA